This 465-nucleotide ribosomal RNA is filed under the name Vreelandella stevensii. Its description in RNAcentral is "partial 16S ribosomal RNA". It matches the Rfam family "Bacterial small subunit ribosomal RNA", at positions 338 to 795 of the family's 1533-position model. Lineage: Bacteria; Pseudomonadati; Pseudomonadota; Gammaproteobacteria; Oceanospirillales; Halomonadaceae. The record is from RNAcentral.
CCUACGGGUGGCAGCAGUGGGGAAUAUUGGACAAUGGGCGAAAGCCUGAUCCAGCCAUGCCGCGUGUGUGAAGAAGGCCUUCGGGUUGUAAAGCACUUUCAGUGGGGAAGAAAGCCUUGGGGCUAAUACCCUCGAGGAAGGACAUCACCCACAGAAGAAGCACCGGCUAACUCCGUGCCAGCAGCCGCGGUAAUACGGAGGGUGCGAGCGUUAAUCGGAAUUACUGGGUGUAAAGCGCGCGUAGGCGGUCUGAUAAGCCGGUUGUGAAAGCCCCGGGCUCAACCUGGGAACGGCAUCCGGAACUGUCAGGCUAGAGUGCAGGAGAGGAAGGUAGAAUUCCCGGUGUAGCGGUGAAAUGCGUAGAGAUCGGGAGGAAUACCAGUGGCGAAGGCGGCCUUCUGGACUGACACUGACGCUGAGGUGCGAAAGCGUGGGUAGCAAACAGGAUUAGAUACCCGAGUAGUC